Molecule: transfer RNA, 361 nt
Filed under: uncultured Microcystis sp.
Lineage: Bacteria; Bacillati; Cyanobacteriota; Cyanophyceae; Chroococcales; Microcystaceae
Description: partial 16S-23S ribosomal RNA intergenic spacer
Rfam family: tRNA (bases 136-209)
Source: RNAcentral
AAAGGGAGACCUAAUUCAGGUAAAAGACGAAAAAAAAGUAGUCGCUACCAAGAAUCAAUCCCAAAAGGUCGGAGCGAGGCGAAAUUGGCUUUCAAACUAGGUUCUGGGUUCAAACAAGACCUGAAUCAGGAACAAGGGCUAUUAGAUCAGGUGGUUAGAGCGCACCCCUGAUAAGGGUGAGGUCCCUGGUUCGAGUCCAGGAUGGCCCACCUGCACAGGUGGCAAAAACAAGAGAAGCGAGGAAUCAGCACCUUAUCUUACUUAUAUAGUAAGAGAGAAUGCUGGCUCUGAGUAAAGAGUCCAGAGGAACCUUGAAAACUGCAUAGAGCUAGGUGAAAAAGCCAAAAAAGAAGACCGCAAG